Non-coding RNA from Podarcis muralis (Common wall lizard), 71 nucleotides. Lineage: Eukaryota; Metazoa; Chordata; Lepidosauria; Squamata; Lacertidae. The record is from the annotation of a RefSeq genome assembly.
GAGGUCGUAGCUCAGUGGUAGAGCAUCUGCUUUGCAUGCAGAAGGCCCCGGGUUCGAUCCCAGGCACCUCC